GAGAAGGUUGCUGGUUUCAACUCACCAAUAUCUGUCCAUACAAAGUAGAGAAACACAAGGAGGAGUAGGAUAAGAAUUUGAUGACUAACAUAGUGAUGACAUUCAAUAACCUCACCGGAGAUGCAAAUUUACAGAAGCAGAAUUGAAGUCACCCUUGGCGAAAAAGGGUGUAGUGUACAAUAAGCAUCUCUUAUUCUUUGAUUUAUGCUCACAAACUGAGCCAUCAUUGUUCAAGAUUUACCAAAUAGAAA
RNAcentral lists this unclassified non-coding RNA (251 nucleotides) under Hevea brasiliensis (rubber tree). Lineage: Eukaryota; Viridiplantae; Streptophyta; Magnoliopsida; Malpighiales; Euphorbiaceae. The record is from RNAcentral.